CCUCCAUCAAUAACAAUAAAGCCAUCAUCAUCAUGCUUGAUUUCUAAUCUGAAAGCCUUCCUUUAAAGAAGUAGAAACAUCAUUUGGAACAGACCCAGUAAACACAAGGAAAGUCCUUGUCAGAGGUGAUACAAUCUUUUUUUUUUAAACCCUUACCUUCCGUCUUGGAGUCAAUACUGUAUAUUGGCUCCAAGACAGAAGGGUGGUAAGGGCUAGGCAAUGGGGGUCAAGUGACUUACCCAGGGUCACACAGCUGGGAAGUCUGUGAGGUCAGAUUUGAACCUAGGACCUCCCAUCUCUAGGCCUGGCUCUCAAUCCACUGAGCUACCCAGCUGCCCCCAGAGGUGAUACAAUCUUGAGGAGUCCUGAGUUUGAGUUGGAGGCUGGUGAAGAAUCUGCUAACUGGACCUGAGACCUUGUACCUGGCACAAGGAAGGAGAGCAACUCGUUGGCCACAGGCAGACCCAAAAUGGAACUCCAAUAAAGAGGAAGAUUAUUUAAAACUAUG
RNAcentral lists this long non-coding RNA (508 nucleotides) under Monodelphis domestica (gray short-tailed opossum). RNAcentral's name for it is "lncRNA (ENSMODG00000044892.1)". The record is from RNAcentral. Lineage: Eukaryota; Metazoa; Chordata; Mammalia; Didelphimorphia; Didelphidae.